UUGGUGACACGAGGCCCUGAAGGGCCCUAACUGUCUCCAUGGUUCCAUCAGGCCCCACAGAGCCAUAAUGGUCUCUGGGUUCCAUGAAGCCCUGCUGCGUCACCACGGCCCCUUGGUUCCAUGGGCUCCAGUGGUGCCACAAUGAUCCCCUUUGGUUCCAUGAAGUCCCCACAGUGUCCCAGUGAUCUCCAUGGGAAAGAAAGAAUCCAGCCCCAGUGUUGGAGGGGCAGUCACCAGAGGCCAAGGCCAGCCAGACUUGAUGGUGCUGGCAGAUUUUGCCUGGGAUCAACCCUCGGAUAUACAGAAUUUUAGAGGUGGAAUCCCAAUUUCAGACAUGGACACCUGGAGGAAGAAGGAUGGUUCUUUACCAUAGGAAGGAAAGCACAGAGCCCAAGGGUUUCAAAGGCAGAAGAGGAGAGAGGUGGCUCCUGGGAGGCCAAGCCAGUCUCACUUGUUUUUCCUGGCAGCUUUUGUAAUGGAGGAAUCCUUGGAUAUAUGGAAUUUGGGAGGAGGAAUCUCAACUUUGACCACAGAUGCCUUGAGAAGAAGGACGGUUCUUUUCCAUAGGAAGGAAAGCACCAACCCCAGUGUUUGGAAAGCAGUGCUCUUCAAGUCUUCAGGGCUUGUGCAGCUGACUGGAGUCAGUUUGGAGUUAUAUUAAGGAGGAAGAUUUCAAACUACACCUCAUGACUUUUUUCUUUUAAUCAAGUGAGAUGUUGAGUGCCAGCAAGGUAAGCCUCCCCAAGCUACAAGGUCUGCCUUUGAUGUGUGAAGGGAUACCAGGCCACGCUACAUCCCUGCAAAUAAGAAACACAUCCUGUGGCAACUGAAGUGGGUAGCUACCGGACCAAGAAAUUAUGGAAGAGGUGCAAUUACACCAUUGGUUCUGUUUUUUGUAAGUGGGAUGAUAUGGGGAGAUGUCUCUCCUGAUAGUUUCUUUUUCUCUUGUAAUUUUGGGUCUUUCACCUUCUUCCCAUUUCAGACGGUAAUAAAACCUUACACAAAAGUC
Molecule: long non-coding RNA, 1009 nt
Organism: Passer domesticus (house sparrow)
Lineage: Eukaryota; Metazoa; Chordata; Aves; Passeriformes; Passeridae
Exons: 2
Source: RefSeq, a predicted model, not a curated record